AUACGAAGGGUGCUAGCGUUGUUCGGAAUCACUGGGCGUAAAGGGUGCGUAGGCGGCUUGACAAGUCUGAUGUGAAAGCCCGGGGCUUAACCCCGGAACUGCAUUGGAAACUGUCUCGCUGGAGUGUGGAAGGGGUAAGCGGAAUUCCUAGUGUAGAGGUGAAAUUCGUAGAUAUUAGGAGGAACACCAGUGGCGAAGGCGGCUUACUGGUCCACAACUGACGCUGAGGCACGAAAGCGUGGGUAGC
Molecule: ribosomal RNA, 247 nt
Filed under: uncultured bacterium
Lineage: Bacteria
Description: partial 16S ribosomal RNA
Rfam family: Bacterial small subunit ribosomal RNA
Source: RNAcentral